Molecule: ribosomal RNA, 703 nt
Filed under: Streptococcus agalactiae
Lineage: Bacteria; Bacillati; Bacillota; Bacilli; Lactobacillales; Streptococcaceae
Description: bacterial SSU rRNA
Rfam family: Bacterial small subunit ribosomal RNA
Source: RNAcentral
UUAAUGAGAGUUUGAUCCUGGCUCAGGACGAACGCUGGCGGCGUGCCUAAUACAUGCAAGUAGAACGCUGAGGUUUGGUGUUUACACUAGACUGAUGAGUUGCGAACGGGUGAGUAACGCGUAGGUAACCUGCCUCAUAGCGGGGGAUAACUAUUGGAAACGAUAGCUAAUACCGCAUAAGAGUAAUUAACACAUGUUAGUUAUUUAAAAGGAGCAAUUGCUUCACUGUGAGAUGGACCUGCGUUGUAUUAGCUAGUUGGUGAGGUAAAGGCUCACCAAGGCGACGAUACAUAGCCGACCUGAGAGGGUGAUCGGCCACACUGGGACUGAGACACGGCCCAGACUCCUACGGGAGGCAGCAGUAGGGAAUCUUCGGCAAUGGACGGAAGUCUGACCGAGCAACGCCGCGUGAGUGAAGAAGGUUUUCGGAUCGUAAAGCUCUGUUGUUAGAGAAGAACGUUGGUAGGAGUGGAAAAUCUACCAAGUGACGGUAACUAACCAGAAAGGGACGGCUAACUACGUGCCAGCAGCCGCGGUAAUACGUAGGUCCCGAGCGUUGUCCGGAUUUAUUGGGCGUAAAGCGAGCGCAGGCGGUUCUUUAAGUCUGAAGUUAAAGGCAGUGGCUUAACCAUUGUACGCUUUGGAAACUGGAGGACUUGAGUGCAGAAGGGGAGAGUGGAAUUCCAUGUGUAGCGGUGAAAUG